CCUACGGGAGGCUGCAGUGAGGAAUAUUGGUCAAUGGCCGGAAGGCUGAACCAGCCAUGCCGCGUGAAGGUCAGUGCCCUAUGGGCGUUAAACCUCUUUUGUGCGGGAGCAAUAAUGGUCACGUGUGUCCAGACGAGAGUACCGUACGAAUAAGCAUCGGCUAACUCCGUGCCAGGAGCCGCGGCAAUACAGGGGAUGCAAGCGUUAUCGGGGUUUAUGGGGUUUAACGGGUGCCUAGGUUGGGAUGUAAGGCAGCGGGGGACUGCCCCUGCACAACGGGGGGAAGUGCCAUUGAUACUGCCAUGCUGGAAUGCGGAUGCGGUGGGUGGAAUGUGUGGUGUAGCGGUGAAAUGCGUAGAUAUCA
Molecule: ribosomal RNA, 364 nt
Filed under: uncultured bacterium
Lineage: Bacteria
Description: partial 16S ribosomal RNA
Rfam family: Bacterial small subunit ribosomal RNA
Source: RNAcentral